UACGUAGGGUGCGAGCGUUGUCCGGAUUUACUGGGCGUAAAGAGCGCGCAGGCGGUCGUUCAAGUCGAGUGUGAAAGCCCCCGGCUCAACUGGGGAGGGUCACUCGAUACUGAUCGACUCGAAGGCAGAAGAGGGAAGCGGAAUUCCCGGUGUAGUGGUGAAAUGCGUAGAUAUCGGGAGGAACACCAGUGGCGAAGGCGGCUUUCUGGUCUGCUCUUGACGCUGAGGCGCGAAAGCUAGGGUAGCAAACGGG
RNAcentral lists this ribosomal RNA (253 nucleotides) under uncultured bacterium. RNAcentral's name for it is "partial 16S ribosomal RNA". It matches the Rfam family "Bacterial small subunit ribosomal RNA", at positions 524 to 776 of the family's 1533-position model. The record is from RNAcentral.